Podarcis lilfordi (Lilford's wall lizard) is the source of this 131-nucleotide non-coding RNA. Lineage: Eukaryota; Metazoa; Chordata; Lepidosauria; Squamata; Lacertidae. The record is from the annotation of a GenBank genome assembly.
AGUACAACAAGCAAGUAUUCAGUUUCCUGUUCUUCUUUAAACAAUCACGUGUUCACUUACUGAGAACCUAAAUAUAUCGAACAAAUGAUCUUAAAAGAAGGACAGGAAACUGAGUAUUUGCUUGUUGUACA